CUGGACAACCUCUGAACACCUGUUGUAUCAUCGAACAAACUAAAGAACCAACAAUAUCCUACUGAGACUGAUAAAACCUAGCAUGAAAACCAUCAACUCCAGGAACUUUAAGCAGGGACAUACCAAAAACCGCAUUACGGAUUUCUAAAUCUGUCAUUUCCAUCUCAAGACUACCUUUUUCAAUUGGAGAUAAAACCUGAAAUUUACCUCUGUAAGGCAGAAACUCAUCAACUGAAUAAUCCAUGGCAAAC
RNAcentral lists this long non-coding RNA (251 nucleotides) under Gossypium raimondii (Peruvian cotton). RNAcentral describes it as "long non-coding RNA (GRAI_LNC006038)". Lineage: Eukaryota; Viridiplantae; Streptophyta; Magnoliopsida; Malvales; Malvaceae. The record is from RNAcentral.